GCUCUGAGCAUCUGAUCAGUCUGCCUUUUCGGUCCAUAGCCAGUUCAGUCCUUUGUUUCCGUGAAGCAGCCCAUAAAGUACCACGUUCCUGGUGUCGGCUGCUCUGCGUGACUGAGAAGGUGGUACAUCUUGUAGAGUCGGGACCUUGUCUUUCCCUGGCUAUAUCCUGGUGCGUGAUGUCUGAUGCACACUGGUGUUCAGUGAAUGAGGCAGCGGGUCAGGCUCAUGGCUGUGCUC
Molecule: long non-coding RNA, 237 nt
Organism: Eptesicus fuscus (big brown bat)
Lineage: Eukaryota; Metazoa; Chordata; Mammalia; Chiroptera; Vespertilionidae
Exons: 3
Source: RefSeq, a predicted model, not a curated record